UUUUAACUGGCGUAGUGGUUUGAGUGUCAGACUAUGACUCUGGAGACCAGGGUUCGAUUACCAGCUUGGUCA
Phrynosoma platyrhinos (Desert horned lizard) is the source of this 72-nucleotide non-coding RNA. The record is from the annotation of a GenBank genome assembly. NCBI's taxonomy places the organism in Eukaryota, Metazoa, Chordata, Lepidosauria, Squamata, Phrynosomatidae.